GCCCCGAUGCUGGAAUUGGUAGACAGGUACGGCUUAGAACCGUAUGCCUUUUUGGGCUUGGGGGUUCGAGUCCCUCUCGGGGCA
RNAcentral lists this transfer RNA (84 nucleotides) under Microgenomates group bacterium. Its description in RNAcentral is "tRNA-Leu". It matches the Rfam family "tRNA". From Rfam's summary of the family: Transfer RNA (tRNA) molecules are approximately 80 nucleotides in length. Their secondary structure includes four short double-helical elements and three loops (D, anti-codon, and T loops). The record is from RNAcentral.